Molecule: ribosomal RNA, 612 nt
Filed under: Triticum aestivum (bread wheat)
Lineage: Eukaryota; Viridiplantae; Streptophyta; Magnoliopsida; Poales; Poaceae
Description: partial small subunit ribosomal RNA
Source: RNAcentral
AUGGAGGAACGAGAACGGGCUCCGGCGGCCUUUUACUUGGAGGGGGAGCACUCCGGCGACGAGGAGGCUAGGGAGAGUGGGCGGGGAGACUCGCGGGGACGAGGGGUAGACUAUGGUGGCGACAGGAGGGAGAGAGGAGCACCGGAUGGCCGGGACGACGAGAUGGCCGAACGGUGGAGGCGGCGGCCGGACUUGGGAGACGCGGCCCCGGGGCUCUUAGGCAAGGGGAAAGGGGUUGGGGCGAUGCGCAAUGAUUCGAGGAAGCUCGUGGACAACAACGGAGGAGAGGAUGAGGCUCCAGCUAGCCGGGACCAAGGAGGAACCGCGGCGGCCGAGGCGAACUGUGGCGAAAAGAGGAGAGGGCCGAGGACUCUGGUGGGUGAGGAGGCUUGGGGAGAGGCUGGUGAGGUGCGGAGGGACUCGGGCACUCCUUAUAUAGCCGAGGGGAAGGCUCUAGAGCUCACAAGCGAGCUUGAGCAGUGCUCUAAUGGAGGUGCCAGAUCCUUAGAGGUCGGGGCAGAUGGCUGCCUCCUCCCUCCCUGCGAGCUGGCUCUCUAUGUGGCAGCCUUCGAAGGACCACCUGCGCCAGAUCCCGCACCAGCAUUCCGAUGA